RNAcentral lists this transfer RNA (72 nucleotides) under Candidatus Kaiserbacteria bacterium. RNAcentral describes it as "tRNA-Arg". It matches the Rfam family "tRNA". Rfam says of the family: Transfer RNA (tRNA) molecules are approximately 80 nucleotides in length. The record is from RNAcentral. Lineage: Bacteria; Candidatus Kaiseribacteriota.
GCUCCCGUAGUUCAAUGGAUAGAAUACAGGUUUGCGGAACCUGAGAUCUAGGUUCGACUCCUAGCGGGAGCA